Molecule: long non-coding RNA, 626 nt
Organism: Pleuronectes platessa (European plaice)
Lineage: Eukaryota; Metazoa; Chordata; Actinopteri; Pleuronectiformes; Pleuronectidae
Exons: 3
Source: RefSeq, a predicted model, not a curated record
CCACACUGGCCCUCUGUGCGUCCUGGCGGACUGGGAGGACUCCUCUGCUCCUCUCUCUCGCACUCAGCUCUCAGUCUGUGUCUCGCCGCUGCGGAGGACACGGAGGAGGGGAGGCCGGCCCGGGAGGAAGACACCAAGAGGGAAACACUCUCAACCAACAUCCUGGGUAUAAAUUUGCAAAACGCAAUACAGGCCUGAUUGUGUGUUGAGUGGAUGCGGGGUGCAUACGAAUAGACCCUGGAACCCCUUCCUCUCUCCUCCUCCAAAUAGUACCUCCCAACUCCUACCCCCAUCUCUUCUCAAGCUGCCAAAUCAUGAAUCUACAGUCAUCAGUAGGACUGAGGCUGGGAGAAUCUGAAUGGAGCGGCUGGGAACAAGUGAAGCCUUGGCACUGACACCAGGUCAGCUCGAAGCCCCCUCACAGCCCAGCCCUCAGCACCAGGUGUUCCCUGCAUUCAAAUGAUACUCUUAUUCAUAGACUGCCCCGAUUGGAGUAUUAAAACUCAAAAUUUGCAACUGAAUGCUGAUAUAAUCCUAGAAAUAUAUGUCUCCAUUAAAAAGGAGCCCAUUUAAAGGAACAAGGCGGUCUUUGUGCGAGCCUUUAUGUUUAUUUAUCAAGGCGCUAA